UGUGAGGGGAGUGAAAUAGAACCUGAAACCGUGUACGUACAAGCAGUGGGAGCCCUUCGGGGUGACUGCGUACCUUUUGUAUAAUGGGUCAGCGACUUACAUUUUGUAGCGAGGUUAACCGUAUAGGGGAGCCGUAGGGAAACCGAGUCUUAACUGGGCGUCUAGUUGCAAGGUGUAGACCCGAAACCGGGUGAUCUAGCCAUGGGCAGGUUGAAGGUUGAGUAACAUCAACUGGAGGACCGAACCCACUAACGUUGCAAAGUUAGGGGAUGACCUGUGGCUGGGGGUGAAAGGCCAAUCAAACUCGGAGAUAGCUGGUUCUCCCCGAAAGCUAUUUAGGUAGCGCCUCGGACGAAUACUACUGGGGGUAGAGCACUGUUUGGGCUAGGGGGUCAUCCCGACUUACCAACCCCAUGCAAACUCCGAAUACCAGUAAGUACUAUCCGGGAGACACACGGCGGGUGCUAACGUCCGUCGUGAAGAGGGAAACAACCCAGACCGCCGGCUAAGGUCCCAAAGUUCUGGUUAAGUGGGAAACGAUGUGGGAAGGCUCAGACAGCUAGGAUGUUGGCUUAGAAGCAGCCAUCAUUUAAAGAAAGCGUAAUAGCUCACUAGUCGAGUCGGCCUGCGCGGAAGAUGUAACGGGGCUCAAACCAGGCACCGAAGCCGCGGAUUCACGCUAAGCGUGAGUGGUAGGGGAGCGUUCUGUAAGUCUGCGAAGGUGUAUCGAGAGGUAUGCUGGAGAUAUCAGAAGUGCGAAUGCUGACGUAAGUAACGAUAAAGGGGGUGAAAAGCCUC
Molecule: ribosomal RNA, 798 nt
Filed under: Escherichia coli
Lineage: Bacteria; Pseudomonadati; Pseudomonadota; Gammaproteobacteria; Enterobacterales; Enterobacteriaceae
Description: partial 23S ribosomal RNA
Rfam family: Bacterial large subunit ribosomal RNA
Source: RNAcentral